Brassica napus (rape) is the source of this 1661-nucleotide long non-coding RNA. RefSeq lists it as uncharacterized. The transcript has 3 exons. NCBI's taxonomy places the organism in Eukaryota, Viridiplantae, Streptophyta, Magnoliopsida, Brassicales, Brassicaceae. The record is from RefSeq and is a predicted model, not a curated record.
CUCCAAGACACAUUAUGAGUUAUCAAUUACACAUAAAUACACAUUGAGUUAAGAGAACACUUUCUUAUGUUCAUUUGUCUGAAUUACCCUUCAACUAGAAAGAAGAUGUCAUAACAUGUGUCAAAAUUAUUUUCAAUAUAAUUCCAUUUAACUUUCACUUUUUAGUUUCAUAUUUUUUAAUUCCCUAAACUUAAUCAUGCCUCCAUUUAUCGUCAUCUUCAUCUCUCAUCUUUCGUAUCCUUCUAAAUAUUCUUCUACUUCACUAAAUUUGUAGACUUUUUUUUUUUAUAAUUCUAAAUCACUAAUUUUUGUUGUCGAAUCUUUAUCUUUCACCACUUUAUUUUUUAAAUCUCGAAUUCAUGGAAACCUCAUAUUGGGAGCUAAGGAAAGUCGAUUCUGAAAUUUCAGCUUGGGAGAUUCUAGAUCUUCGCCGACGAAUACAUCCAAGACAGCAAAGCCGAUGUAUCUCCUGCAACAUUUGAUUCACAUGUCGCCCAUCCUUUUCAUGUCCAUCAAUUUGCUUGUCCACAAAUGAACUAUCCACAAAGCUGUCUUGGAUCUAAGUUUGAUUCACAUGUCGCCCAUCCUUUUCAGUGGAUUAGCUCGUGAUUUUCCGUGGAUGAACUUGGGAUUCGACGUGGAUGAACUCGAGAGACAGCGAUGAUGAGCACGACGAGGCUUGAAUCCGAGCAUGACACCGUCGGCAGAGCAAGACGACGGAGAUGGUCUGGUGGCCUGAGACAGACGCGACGAGCUGCGGCGGAAAAGAGAGAGCUCAAGACAGGUGAAUCACGGAGGAUAUGAAGCAUACGCAACAAAGGAGGUUUGCGGUUGAGAACUGUUGGUUGGAGUACAGUGGCUGGAGAUUGUAAUGGGAGAGAAGCCGCCAAGCUUGGUUGCCACGAGUUGCAGUCGAAGGUGAGAAGAUCCACGAAGAAAAUGAAUCAAGUGAAGCUUGCGACAGAGACAGAAGAUAUUUCAGUUUGGAAAAAAACAUUAAUAAUCCAACUAUUUUUCUAACUUAACUAACUAGAAGAAAGUAACUAGUUCUUUUUUUUUGCUAACUACACGUAAAGCUAAAGGGCAUAAUGGUCAAAAAAAAAUCUUAGUUUCAUGAAUUGUGUGCUUCAGACAUAAUGUGUCCUUUUAUGAAAGAAAAAAGAUAAAUGUGUCUUUGAUAGUAACUCACUCAUAAGAAAGCUCUUCGAUUAUUGGGCCUCCCACAGUAUAAGAACCCUGCAACAUGCCAACGGUGCCGUUCGGUAGUGAAUAGUAUAGAGAGUCUUGGCUCGUUGUUUCGGCAGACAGAAUACAAGUCUUCGAACAAAGACGACGAUGGAAGAAGCGAAGAAACAAGAAAAUGUUAGGGCGAAGAAAAUCGCUUCAUCGUGCGACGUAGAGGCGCUGAAGAAAUGCUUGGAAGAAAACAAAGGAGACCACUCCAAGUGUCAGUCUCAGGUUGACGCCUUCAGAUCCUCUUGCGCGCUUCCUCAACCCAAGACUAAACCCUAAUUUUCAAAUUCCGACACUAGGCUGCCAAAGAGAAAGAGAUCUUCUUCUUCUGUAAUAAACUCAGACCAAUCUGGUCUGUACGAUAAUGAUUGUAUGAACAUCUGUCUCUUAUUUUUUUACACAUACAAUAGAAACUUAUGAUUGGAUCA